GCCGCUAUGGUGGAAUCGGUAGACACGCUGCUCUUAGGAAGCAGUGCUAAAGCAUCUCGGUUCGAGUCCGAGUGGCGGCA
RNAcentral lists this transfer RNA (80 nucleotides) under Hemiptelea davidii. RNAcentral describes it as "tRNA-Leu". It matches the Rfam family "tRNA". Rfam says of the family: Transfer RNA (tRNA) molecules are approximately 80 nucleotides in length. Their secondary structure includes four short double-helical elements and three loops (D, anti-codon, and T loops). The record is from RNAcentral. Lineage: Eukaryota; Viridiplantae; Streptophyta; Magnoliopsida; Rosales; Ulmaceae.